Molecule: ribosomal RNA, 472 nt
Filed under: uncultured bacterium
Lineage: Bacteria
Description: bacterial SSU rRNA
Rfam family: Bacterial small subunit ribosomal RNA
Source: RNAcentral
GCAGAGCAUCCUACGGGAGGCAGCAGUGGGGAAUAUUGCACAAUGGGCGCAAGCCUGAUGCAGCCAUGCCGCGUGUAUGAAGAAGGCCUUCGGGUUGUAAAGUACUUUCAGCAGUGAGGAAGGUGGGUAUGUUAAUAGCAUACUCAUUUGACGUUAGCUGCAGAAGAAGCACCGGCUAACUCCGUGCCAGCAGCCGCGGUAAUACGGAGGGUGCGAGCGUUAAUCGGAAUUACUGGGCGUAAAGCGCAUGCAGGUGGUUUGUUAAGUCAGAUGUGAAAGCCCGGGGCUCAACCUCGGAAUUGCAUUUGAAACUGGCAAACUAGAGUACUGUAGAGGGGGUAGAAUUUCAGGUGUAGCGGUGAAAAUGCGUAGAGAUCUGAAGGAAUACCGGUGGCGAAGGCGGCCCCCUGGACAGAUACUGACACUCAGAUGCGAAAGCGUGGGGAACAAACAGGAUUAGAUACCCUGGUAG